Sipha flava (yellow sugarcane aphid) is the source of this 1071-nucleotide long non-coding RNA. RefSeq lists it as uncharacterized. The transcript has 3 exons. Lineage: Eukaryota; Metazoa; Arthropoda; Insecta; Hemiptera; Aphididae. The record is from RefSeq and is a predicted model, not a curated record.
UGUGUUCAUUGUUAUUAAUAAUAAUCGAUCUGAAAAAAUUUACUGAUAUUAGAUAAUUUUAUUUGUUUAAAAACAGUGAGUCUACCGAGUCUUAAGGUAUUUCGUGCUUAUUAUCAUCAUGGUAGUAAACAAGCUUACCAUAUGGUAUUACUCAUAGAUUUUUCUGGUGCACACGAAUUGCGUCCUGAAAUUACUUUUCCAUAUUAAUUGCGUCCCUGAUUUUCUAAACAACUACACGAUUUGCGUUUCAAAAUAAAAAUAUCAUUUUAUUUCCCAUUUUAUACAGAUUUAAGACUGUCAAUAGCAUACCAAGAUACCAUUAUUAUCAGUACAAAUAAACAAUGCUUAUACAGUCAUAUAACGGAAAUAUAAAUAGCCAGAUAUGAAAAUACCUAUACUUGGAUAAUCGGAUGUUCCCAAUAAAUACAUAAAAUCGACUAGAACGAGAAUCAAGCAAUGUCCAUGACGUGGACAGCGCGGCGACCGUUAUCACAACGGCCGUCGACGACCGCGUCUAUUUUUCCAAUCAGUCACCAGACUGCAGAUCGUACAGUCAUCACGACACCCGGUUUCCGAUCCAUCAUAGGAGGGAGACCUAGAACAGUCGCGAGGACGUCGGACACGCACCACCACCGAGUCCGUCGGUGUAUGUGAAAACGUGUCUGGAAAACCAUGAUCUGGAGGCAUGGACCGUCCACCAGAAACCAUUAUUUUUAUCAGUUAUGUUUUGUGUAUCGAUUGUAUUAAUUCACGUAACUCACGAAAGUACCCAUGUUUAUCACCAUAAUAUACACCGUUAUACUGUCGGACAUCAUGGCUAUUUCAUUUUCAUCAUAUUAUGUCGGAUUGUGCAUUCUACAUCGGACGCGCUCCCCAACAUCCAUAGCAAUGAACAAAAAAUGUGUUAAAGUUUUUCUCUUUUAAUUUUGGCUAAACACCGUUUGUACACCCUUACAUAGUUUAUACUCCAUCAAAAUAAACGACAACUAUAUUUUCUCAUUUAAUACUAUAUUCUUGAAUAAUAUCAUGUAAUUAACUAAAAAUACUCUGUGCAUCUAUAGAUGUCAUUCG